UACGUAGGGUGCGAGCGUUGUCCGGAAUUAUUGGGCGUAAAGAGCUCGUAGGCGGUGUGUCGCGUCGGCCGUGAAAACCUGGGGCUUAACUCUGGGCGUGCGGUCGAUACGGGCAUCACUGGAGUUCGGCAGGGGAGACUGGAAUUCCUGGUGUAGCGGUGAAAUGCGCAGAUAUCAGGAGGAACACCGGUGGCGAAGGCGGGUCUCUGGGCCGAUACUGACGCUGAGGAGCGAAAGCAUGGGUAGCGAACAGG
RNAcentral lists this ribosomal RNA (254 nucleotides) under uncultured bacterium. Its description in RNAcentral is "partial 16S ribosomal RNA". It matches the Rfam family "Bacterial small subunit ribosomal RNA", at positions 524 to 776 of the family's 1533-position model. The record is from RNAcentral.